RNAcentral lists this ribosomal RNA (629 nucleotides) under uncultured bacterium. RNAcentral describes it as "bacterial SSU rRNA". It matches the Rfam family "Bacterial small subunit ribosomal RNA", at positions 1 to 631 of the family's 1533-position model. The record is from RNAcentral.
UAGAGUUUGAUCAUGGCUCAGGAUGAACGCUAGCGGCAGGCCUAACACAUGCAAGUCGAGGGGUAACAGGGAAAGCUUGCUUUCCGCUGACGACCGGCGAACGGGUGCGUAACACGUAUGCAACCUACCUUCCACUGGGGUAUAGCCCAGAGAAAUUUGGAUUAAUCCCCCAUAGAACCAAGAGUCGCAUGGCUCAAUGGUUAAAGGAUUCCGGUGGAAGAUGGGCAUGCGUCCCAUUAGCUAGUAGGUGAGGUAACGGCUCACCUAGGCGACGAUGGGUAGGGGGUCUGAGAGGAUGAUCCCCCACACUGGUACUGAGACACGGACCAGACUCCUACGGGAGGCAGCAGUGAGGAAUACUGCGCAAUGGACGAAAGUCUGACGCAGCCAUGCCGCGUGAAGGAUGACUGCCCUAUGGGUUGUAAACUUCUUUUAUAUACCAAGAAACCUCAGGACGUGUCCUGAGCUGACGGUAGUAUAUGAAUAAGCACCGGCUAACUCCGUGCCAGCAGCCGCGGUAAUACGGAGGGUGCAAGCGUUAUCCGGAUUUAUUGGGUUUAAAGGGUCCGUAGGUGGACCAUUAAGUCAGAGGUGAAAGCCCGCGGCUCAACCGCGGAACUGCCUUUGAU